RNAcentral lists this ribosomal RNA (492 nucleotides) under uncultured bacterium. RNAcentral's name for it is "partial 16S ribosomal RNA". It matches the Rfam family "Bacterial small subunit ribosomal RNA", at positions 29 to 507 of the family's 1533-position model. The record is from RNAcentral.
AAUGAACGCUGGCGGUAGGCCUAACACAUGCAAGUCGAACGGCAGCACAGUAAGAGCUUGCUCUUACGGGUGGCGAGUGGCGGACGUGUGAGGAAUACAUCGGAAUCUACUUUUUCGUGGGGGAUAACGUAGGGAAACUUACUCUAAUACCGCAUACGACCUACGGGUGAAAGCAGGGGAUCUUCGGACCUUGCGCGAUUGAAUGAGCCGAUGUCGGAUUAGCUAGUUGGCGGGGUAAAGGCCCACCAAGGCGACGAUCCGUAGCUGGUCUGAGAGGAUGAUCAGCCACACUGGAACUGAGACACGGUCCAGACUCCUACGGGAGGCAGCAGUGGGGAAUAUUGGACAAUGGGCGCAAGCCUGAUCCAGCCAUACCGCGUGGGUGAAGAAGGCCUUCGGGUUGUAAAGCCCUUUUGUUGGGAAAGAAAAGCAGCAGGUUAAUACCCCGCUGUUCUGACGGUACCCAAAGAAUAAGCACCGGCUAACUUCGUG